GCAGGAUUCCUUUUCCACAAAGACCUUGCACAGACUCACCUCGAUGAUUUACACCAUGCUUAUUUGAAAGUUUAGCAGGCAUAUGACCUUGUCACAGCUGCAGGCCCUUAGGAGAACUUGGCUGUUGCUGCUGGGCUUCCUAGGCUCAGAAAUCCUCCACCUUCUUAAGGAUCUCUCAGCCUCCUCAUCUUGGCUGAGUCCUUUCGGUACAUAAGACUGAUCACCAGCUGAAAAAGAACUAUGAGAUCUCUCUGGGGAAAUAAGCAAAAGAAAGUGCAUGCCAAUCACCACCGAGACAGAGGAAGAAGACUCUGCUGAUUUUAAAGGUAUAGCGUGGCUCCAGGAAGAGCUGGUCUCAGGACAGAAGGCUCAGGUUGGAGACAGGAGAACCAUAAUUUCCUGAGUGAAGAUGAUCCUGCACUGUCAGCAGAAUGCUGAGCACUGAAUCUCAUAAUCUCUGAUCUAAGCAACAAAUGGACUGGAGACAAAA
Long non-coding RNA from Mesocricetus auratus (golden hamster), 490 nucleotides. RefSeq lists it as uncharacterized. NCBI's taxonomy places the organism in Eukaryota, Metazoa, Chordata, Mammalia, Rodentia, Cricetidae. The record is from RefSeq and is a predicted model, not a curated record. The transcript has 3 exons.